CCUUCCACUGGGCGCUUAGCCCGCGAGGAUUCGGGGGUCGGCGAGGGGUCUCCCCGAGGAGGAGGUUGCAGAGGCCGGAGAAGCCUGUCUUCUGCUACAAGCCUGUCUUCUCUAAGCUCUUGCGGGGCGAAUGGAUCCCCACUCACCUUUGGCUUUCUAGCCCCUAACGUGGUAGGUGCUUAACAUGCGUAUGGAACGAAUGAUGGAAUGACUGAAUUCCGAGGGAAUGUUACAAAAGUGGGAAAAUGAUUUAAAGCACAGAUGUGAGCCUCCCACCUGCCUGCUGCCUUCUCUCUCUCACCUUGGAUCUCCAACCUCACCUGGGCUCGACAUGAACCCCAACUGCUCCUGUACCUCUGGUUGCUGCUCCUGCUGCCCCGUGAGCUGUGUCAAGUGCACCCAGGGCUGUGUCUGCCAAGGGACAUCGGACAAGUGCAGCUGCUGCGCCUGAUGUCGGGAGGGCCCUGCUUCCAAAUGUAAAUGGAGCAGCGUGUACAAACCUGGAAUUUUUUCUCAUACAACCCUGGCUCUUUCACUACAUUUAUUUUUCUAUGAAAUAGGUGAAUGGUAAUAAAAGUUAUUGAUUUUUUAAAAAAUACAAAUGGAAUUUGAACUUGUAAAAUUGAAGUUAGAUUUCAAAUAAGCUUCCAGUUAUAGUAAAGAAAUUCAGAAAGUUC
Molecule: long non-coding RNA, 677 nt
Organism: Carlito syrichta (Philippine tarsier)
Lineage: Eukaryota; Metazoa; Chordata; Mammalia; Primates; Tarsiidae
Exons: 2
Source: RefSeq, a predicted model, not a curated record